GGCAAACGGGUGAGUAACACGUAAGUAAUCUGCCCCUAAGUCUGGAAUAACCUUGCCAACGCGGGGAUAAUACCGGAUGUGAUCACGAGGUCGCAUGGCCAUGUGAUUAAAGAUGACCUCUACCUGUAAGUUAUCGCUUGGGGAUGAGCUUGCGCACCAUUAGCUUGUUGGUGAGGUAACGGCUCACCAAGGCUGCGAUGGUUAGCCGGCCUGAGAGGGUGACCGGCCACAUUGGGACUGANAUACGGCCCAGACUCCUACGGGAGGCAGCAGUAGGGAAUUUUGCGCAAUGGGCGAAAGCCUGACGCANCAACGCCGCGUGAGGGAUGAAGGGUUUCGGCUCGUAAACCUCUGUUGAGUGGG
This 363-nucleotide ribosomal RNA is filed under the name uncultured Bacillota bacterium. RNAcentral describes it as "bacterial SSU rRNA". It matches the Rfam family "Bacterial small subunit ribosomal RNA", at positions 97 to 444 of the family's 1533-position model. Lineage: Bacteria; Bacillati; Bacillota. The record is from RNAcentral.